UGUGUCCGUUGUGAUGACCAUUUUUUCCCCGGCAUAUCGAUAAAUGCUGAAUGACUUUAGUCUCAAGCCAGAUUUGUCUGAGCGGACAUU
Molecule: small nucleolar RNA, 90 nt
Filed under: Pomacea canaliculata
Lineage: Eukaryota; Metazoa; Mollusca; Gastropoda; Architaenioglossa; Ampullariidae
Description: small nucleolar SNORD12/SNORD106
Rfam family: Small nucleolar SNORD12/SNORD106
About the family: This family belong to the C/D class of snoRNA which contain the C (UGAUGA) and D (CUGA) box motifs.
Source: Rfam by way of RNAcentral